GAUGAACGCUAGCGGCAGGCCUAAUACAUGCAAGUCGAGGGGCAGCAGGAAUAGCAAUAUUCGCUGGCGACCGGCGCACGGGUGCGUAACACGUAUACAAUCUGCCUUUAACAGGGGGAUAGCCCGGGGAAAUCCGGAUUAAUACCCCAUAACAGUGAUCUUGGCAUCAAGGACACUUAAAAGCUCCGGCGGUUAAAGAUGAGUAUGCGUCUGAUUAGCUAGUUGGUGAGGUAACGGCUCACCAAGGCGACGAUCAGUAGGGGAUCUGAGAGGAUUAACCCCCACACGGAUACUGAGACACGGAUCCGACUCCUACGGGAGGCAGCAGUAAGGAAUAUUGGACAAUGCCCGCAAGGGUGAUCCAGCCAUGCCGCGUGCAGGAAGACGGCCCUAUGGGUUGUAAACUGCUUUUACACCGGAGAAAACCCCACUACGUGUAGUGGGCUGAUAGUAUGGUGAGAAUAAGCAUCGGCUAACUUCGUGCCAGCAGCCGCCGCAG
RNAcentral lists this ribosomal RNA (499 nucleotides) under uncultured bacterium. RNAcentral describes it as "partial 16S ribosomal RNA". It matches the Rfam family "Bacterial small subunit ribosomal RNA", at positions 28 to 523 of the family's 1533-position model. The record is from RNAcentral.